Molecule: transfer RNA, 77 nt
Filed under: Comamonas sp. Y33R10-2
Lineage: Bacteria; Pseudomonadati; Pseudomonadota; Betaproteobacteria; Burkholderiales; Comamonadaceae
Description: tRNA-Arg
Rfam family: tRNA
About the family: Transfer RNA (tRNA) molecules are approximately 80 nucleotides in length. Their secondary structure includes four short double-helical elements and three loops (D, anti-codon, and T loops). Further hydrogen bonds mediate the characteristic L-shaped molecular structure. tRNAs have two regions of fundamental functional importance: the anti-codon, which is responsible for specific mRNA codon recognition, and the 3' end, to which the tRNAs corresponding amino acid is attached (by aminoacyl-tRNA synthetases). tRNAs cope with the degeneracy of the genetic code in two manners: having more than one tRNA (with a specific anti-codon) for a particular amino acid; and 'wobble' base-pairing, i.e. permitting non-standard base-pairing at the 3rd anti-codon position.
Source: RNAcentral
GUCUCGUUAGCUCAGCUGGAUAGAGCAGCGGUCUUCUACACCGUAGGUCAGUGGUUCGAAUCCACUACGGGACGCCA